GACGAAGGAUGCAAGCGUUAUCCGGAUUCAUUGGGUUUAAAGGGAGCGUAGGUGGACUUAUAAGUCAGCGGUGAAAUCUCUGGGCUUAACCCAGAAAUUGCCAUUGAUACUGUAGGGCUUGAGUAUAGUUGCCGUUGGCGGAAUAUGACAUGUAGUGGUGAAAUACAUAGAGAUGUCAUAGAACACCGAUUGCGAAGGCAGCUGACGAAACUAUAACUGACACUGAGGCUCGAAAGUGCGGGGAUCAAACAGG
Molecule: ribosomal RNA, 253 nt
Filed under: uncultured bacterium
Lineage: Bacteria
Description: partial 16S ribosomal RNA
Rfam family: Bacterial small subunit ribosomal RNA
Source: RNAcentral